GAGGGGGAGGGGGAGAGAGAGAGAGAGAGAGAGAGAGAGAGAGAGAGAGAGAGAGGGAAUCCAAAGCACGUUCCAGGCUCUGAGCUGUCAGCACAGAGCCUGACAUGGGACUCAAACUCACGGACCACGAGAUCAUGACCUGGGCUGAAGUUUGACACUCAACUGAUUGAGCCACCCAGGCGCCCCGCAUAAAUCACUCUCUAACAUAGUAUAUAAUUUAUCAUGUUUAUUACUCAUUGUCUAGCUUUUCCUGCUAGACUGUAAUCUCCACAUAGUCAGAUCUUCAUCUGUUUUAUUUACUGACAUGUGGCAAGAGCCUAGAAUAAGGCCUGGGACAUAGCAAUCACUUAAUAAAGAUCUGCUCAAUUAAAACAGAAUGAAAUGAAUGAGACCAGAAGCAACAAAAAAUCAGUUUCUAUGAAGAUAUAACUAUCCAUAGCAAUAUGCUACUUUUUGUAAAGACAAGUUAACUGUGUUUCUUGGAUGGGGCUGUCGAUUUUACAUACAUAGAUAUCUCUAUCUCUCCCUCACUGCUGUCCCUCCCUAUCAGUCUAGAGAGAGAGAGAGUCUAUAAGGGAUAUUAAAUUCAUAGCUAACAUAGCUGACACCAAAAUCAUGUGUCUUUCAACUGAACUUGAUGAAACCUCAUUUCCUGCAGAUCACUUGCUCAAAUGUUACCUCCUUAGGGAAGUCUUCACUGACUACCUUAUCUAAAAGAGCACCCAAUCCCGUAGUCACUCUCUAGCCCUUAUCUUGCUUCAUUUCCUUCAUAAUUCUUAUCACUGCAUAAUAUUAUGAUAAAUAUUUGUUUAUUGUCUAUCUCUUCCAGGAAAACAGGGAACUUAUCUGCCUUCCUUACUGCACUAUUUCCCUGUGUUUGGAUCAGUGCCUGGCACAUAGUAAAUAUUUGUCAGCAAGAAUGCACCGAGGAUUUGCAUGCCCUCAUGUUGUUCUUCACAUGAGAAUGAUUCAAUUGUUUGUCCCCAGAUCUGAAGUUGCUAAGCAAUCAGUUGUAUUGUAUUAUUCCCUCACUAAUAAACAAACAAAGAAUAAUUCUUCAUGCUUCAUAUCAUAUUGAAUUAGAUGGUUAAAAGGUUUGAACAGGUCAUGCUAGAUAUUAUUCCUGAAACAUCAAUGAAAUUCACUACUGCCCUGGAAGAUUACAUCUUAAAUCAUAUUUAAAAAAAAAAUUUUUUUUUUAACGUUUAUUUAUUUUUGAGACAGGGAGAGACAGAGCAUGAACAGGGGAGGGUCAGAGAGAAGGAGACACAGAAUCUGAAGCAGGCUCCAGGCUCUGAGCUGUCAGCACAGAGCCCGACGUGGGGCUAGAACUCACGGACUGUGAGAUCAUGACCUGAGCCAAAGUCGGCCGCUUAACUGACUGAGCCACCCAGGCGCCCCUACAUCUUAAAUCGUAUUAAACAAAAGUUUUAGAUCUACUCUUUGCUCUUUUCUGGGUGAAACUGUAUUAAUUUUAUUGAAUUGGAAGUAAAGACACUGAUCUAAAAUUUUGUGAAAUUUCAUUUGAUUAAAAAACUUAAGGCCAAUGUAAAAAGUAAAGAGGUACUUUAGACCUCUUGCUCUUUUCUUUUUUAAAAAGUUUUAUUUAUUUUGAGAGAGAGAGAGAAAGAGAAAAAGAGCAUAGGCAGGGGAGGGACCAAGAAGGGAAGAGAAUCCCAAGUAGGCUCAGCACUGUCCGUGCAAAGCCUGAUGCAGGGCUUGAUUUUGACACAGGGCUCGAUCUCACUAACCAUGAGAUCAAGAGUCAGCCGCUCAACCCACUAAGCCACCCGGGCGCCCUGAGACCCCUUGGCUCUUUAAUUCUACUUUUGGUUUAAAAUCUGGCCAGGGUGACAAUAGCAGGAUUGAAUGACACUGCGGCGUGUGGGUGACAAUAUCAGGAUUGAAUGACAUAGCUGCUUGUCUUUGUAAUGAGGGCAAAUGUAAAAUAAAAAGCAGGGCUUAAAAAAAAUACAUUGUGUAAAUGGUGUUGUUUACUUUGUUACCUGGACCCCUAGAAUCUUCACCAAAACUGUCAGUUGUGGAUACACCUCUAAAGUACUUGUAAGGAUGCUUUAAACUUCAGAAAUUCAGAAAGUUCACAAAAGAGAUUGAUGAAGAAUUAUAGAAAUCACAAUUUUUAUAAAACUUAAGGAUAAAUGUUUUAAAGUGUUUGUUUUCCUUAGCAAAAUGUUUCAAACCCUUGAGAGAAUAAACAAGAAAUGUCUUUAUUAUUUUCAGUAACUAUCCCCAACAACAUCAGGUAGAAUUUCCUUGUUUCCAGAGGGGUGGCUCCUUUAAUGAUAUGUUACAUAUAUAUUCUGUGAUUUUCAGACACUUUAUUAAAACAUAACAACCUAAGAUUAAAUAAUCAGUCUUGUUAACUUGAAAGCUUCAAUCUCUAGCUCAAUUCAAAACUCUUCUGCCCUCCUUCUCCUGCCUACCACCCACCUUAGUACAGGUAAAGCUCUAGUGACUUGGAGGCAGUAGGGGAACAUCCUGGCUCACAGAUACCUGUUUUCCCUCCCUUCCCAGACUUAGUGCCCUCGUUCAUGGCAGAAAGAAGGGACAAAGAAAAGGGCAAAGGCUUCCUUACAUGAAAGACAAAAGGGCAAAUGUUUCUCUACUUGACUGGAAUACUUACCAGUAUCUCGUGAAAUUAGUCUGAGGAACCCAGUUGGUAUCCUCCCUCCCUCUCUUCUUUUUGUAAUUUUUGAGUCCACAAGGAACUACACAGAUCUAUGCAAGUUCCUUAAAGCAGUACAGUAAGUAUGUCUGUUGUUGGUUCAUUCAAAAUAGAGGCUUUCUCCUCCCUCUGCUACUAUAGUAAGAGGUUUUUAAGAAAAAAAGAAGGAAGGAAGGAAGGAAGGAAGGAAGGAAGGAAGGAAGGAAAGAAAGAAAGAAAGAAAGAAAGAAAGAAAGAAAGAAAGAAAGAAAGAAAGAAAAAAAAAGAAGAGAGAAAAAAAUUCCCUGGAACAAUUGUCUUUUGAGAUGAGGCUACCAGAAAAGGUCUUCCCUCCUAAUUAAAAGUCUUAUGUGUUAUGAUUUCUUUUUAUUCUACAUUAUCAAAUAUCUCCUCAGUGGCAGCUGCUGAGCUUGUAAGUCAAUGGCUGCUUUUCUGAGUUUUGCCACUUAACUGUUUCUAUGCCCACUUACGUGGGUUAUGCUUACGAACAGUGAUUUCCUAAUUGUAGGCUGCUUCAUUAAAAGGAAAAGAGAAGAUAUGGAGAUAUUUCUCCAAGACCAUCACCAUCACCAGUCAAAGGUAUAGCAGAUGGAGCAACUUUUAAAAUCCAGAAACUAAUAGCAACUAAUAUUAUUUAUAUUGAUGACAUACAAGUGUUUUAGAAUAUACGGUGUAUACCUCUAGUCUAGGUGGUCUUUUAUUUUGUUUUCUUAAAUACUAUUUCAUUUUUUAAGUAAUCUCUCCACCCAACGCGGGGCUCAAACUCACAACCCCAAGAUCAAGGGUUGCAUGCUCUACCUAUUGAGCCAGACAGGUGCCCCAGGCAGUCUUUUAAAAACACCUGAAAUGAUAAGUUCUAGCUACUUCAUAUAGAGUUGGACACCUUAUUAAAAACAGAAAGUUACUUGAGAAUUAUUAUAAAUGUUUAGCAACUAUCUUCUUGUAAACAAUGUCUUUAAAAACUCAUAGGCCUUAAAAAUCCUGUAAUCGUAGAAGGGAUGUCAUCCCAGCAACUGAAAAAGAUUAGCUAAUGUUUAUUUUAUUUAAAAAAAGUAUUCUUACAGUACAAAGUACAACAUAAUCACUACUUGAUGCUAUAAAAAUGUAAUAAUUUAAGAAUAUGUUUCACUUUCCUGCCUUACCUGACUUUUUAUUUCUCAACAGAAAACAUGUAACAGCCAGUGAGCACACUUGUGUUUGCUGUCAUUUUUAAAUGGCUUUUAUAUUAUCUAUUAUUUUCUUGUAUUUUUCCCUCUCAGAUGCUCCCUUAAUAAUUAGCUUCUCUAUUCAAAAUUCUUAGAUUACAUGUAGUAUUUCACAUAAAAAUACUAUCAUUAUAGCAACUAGUAUUUUGUGAUUGUUUGCUUUAUUCUACAUUAUGCUAAGGUUUACAAAGAUCAUCUCAUAAAAUGUUAACAACCCUGAAAGACAUGGUAAUCUUUCUAUGUACAAUUUUAAGGUAACAAAACUGAGGCUUGGAGAGGUUAAGCAUCUUGCCUAAGGGACCUCAGCUUGUGUGUAUUUUAGUUGGAUAAAAUUUCAGGUCUGAGCUAUUCUAAAACCCCAAGUUCUUAACCUUUGCUUCUCCAAUCCCCGGUGAUUCAGUAAUAUAUUCUUGAACGUUUGUGAUUUCUCCUCAAAAACCUUUAGUUUUGAGGUUUCAUUUCAAAAAUAACUUGAAAAUGUAACUAUACUUUGGAUCACAGGGAAGACCAUUAUAUAAAUACAAACUUUUCACCUGAUUUGAAUACCAGGUUUUUGUGUUUAUAACUGAGUUAGUGCCAAGCUAUAAAACUUAAAUUGCCCUGGGCUACAGUAGAGAAUAAAAACAAACAAAUGAAUGAUGCAUACAUGACAGGCAAAGGUCAAAUAUUGUUCCUGCUUUGUUCUGGAACAAAGAUUUUUUUAAAAAAAAUUGUAACAGAGAAAACUAAUGGGAAAAUUGAAUUAUCAUAUAGUAAUGUAGGCAUUCCAAAUUACAACAAACAUGUGCUGUAUUAAUUUCCAAUGACUUCCAGCUCAGCAAAACAAUAGUCUUUGUUGCUUUAAAAUUGAUGUUAUUAAUUUCAAAUAUUUUAGUUUAAUUUCUAUUAUUUCUGGUUUAAUAGUUAAAAAGGAGCGAUCAGUACAGGUUUACACCAAAUUUUCUACGUGCACAUAGCACAUAUUAGGGUAACUUUAAAAUGUUUAUCAUAUUGGAUACACACAAUAAUUCUUAUAGGGUAUUCCUAUAUUAUUCAAGAUUGAGGAACAGUACUACAUAAUUUGUAUGGCUGGUGCAUAAUAGGAACUCAAUAAUUGUUAGUUGAGCCAGAAUUUUAAUGAUCUAUCUAGGUUCUCCAUAUUUAUUCAUUUGAUUGAUUCAGCCAAACUACCUUGGAGUUUCUUUCUCAUAAUAAAUGCACUGAACCUACAGUAGGUUUUAGUGUUUAUCUUAGACUUUUUCACUAGUGAACACUUAAGAGAAUCUCAUGGAAUCUAUGGACUCUUUCCCCCAAAAGCCCCCCCCCCCCACGCACACACACACACAGAUAUAUAUCACAAUAUUAUAAACUACAUAAUUAAAAAAGAGAGAACUGGCUGUGAAGUUGGAAAUAAUUUAUAUGAUUGAAGGCAACCUUUCUUAGAGAUUCCAUUUCCUCAUCUGUACAGUGUGAAUACUACUUAUCUCAUGUUAUGCAGCUGAAUAAAAUCAUGUAAUUAUGGUGCUUGCAAUUUAGUAGAUGCCAAAUUAAGUGGUAGCUAUAAUUAUUAUCAGGCCAAUAUUGAUCUCAUAUUUUAUCUCUAAUUACUGUUUGAGGUUUUCUUGUGCUGAUUGGUUUGUUACAACUACUUUCUAGUUCCAUGGAUCUUAUAUUUUUCUCACCGGUUACCUUAUUUGUUUUUUCUUUUUAGGCUACCUAUUUUUACAGAUGAUAGUGAUCCACAAAAGCACCGGCGAGUAAUAACAUCUAUAAUGUUCAGGUCAGAAUACUAAGCAGCUUUAACAUUGCUGUGAUCAAUAUGAAAGCUGAUGAGCAAUAAAUAGUAAUUCAAUACAAAGAUAAGGAUAUUUGAAGGGCAAAAUAUGGGUCACAAGUUUAAACUGGAGAUCUGCUACAAAUAAGAACAUGGAGGAAAUUAUACUAUUAGAUAGUUUCUUUGAGAAUUACAUGACAAUAAAAGACGUGUGGCACAUAACUGAGUCAAUCACAUUUGAAUAAUGAAUGAUAAAUGGAUACCACAUCAGAACAGAACAUUGUAUUCAGAUGAGAAAGCAUUUAUUCUUUUAUUGCCAAAACUGGUUAUAUUAAAAGCAUCCUUUUAUGUUUAUAUCUGGAAACCAAUUCUAUGAGGCUGUAGAAAAUUUAUGAAGAGUUCAGAAAGAAUGUCAUAAAAAUAAUGCAAAACUUUGGAAACAUAAUUGUAAGAGAAAUCUUUACAUAAGGAUUUCUAAGGAACUGUUCAAAUUCUUUUACUUAUUUUCAUUAUUAUUUUGGCAUUUUUUUCAUUUUGGUAUUUUUAAGCAUCAAAUAUUGCAUGAAAUGUAUAGGUGAGGGGUUGAAGAUAAAAAUUUUUCUAUGUGUUUGAUAUAGUGUCACUAUAGACAUUGUAAUGAGAUUUCACAAAAUGCUGAUGUUUAAGAUUCACAAGUACUAUAAAAUGCUUUUAUAAAUAAAUAGUAACUUCAAUAUGAGUAGAAUAUAUUAAGAAGCAAUCUUAAGAAGAAUAUGUACAAAUGGUGCCUGGGUGGCUCAAUCAGUUAAGUGUCAGACUCUUGAUUUCAGCUCAAGUCAUGAUCUCAUGACUUGUGAGUUUGAGCCCUGCAUUGGGCUCCACGCUCACAGCAUGGAAUCUGCUUGGGAUUCUCUGUCUCCCCCUCACUCUCUGCUCUGUCUCUCUCAAAAAUAAACAUUUUUUUUUUAAAAGAAAAAGAAUAUGUACAAAAAAAAACAUAUUCCCCCUCCUCAAAUUAUGGCCUUAUUAGAGAUGCUGGUCAUUUAUCAUAAAUGACAAUGACUCAUUUUAGAAUGGUGAAUGCUUGAAGUACAGUAUGUCCUGGCUUUUUUUUUUUUUAUUUUUAGAUCUUAUACUCUUACAAUUUUAUGCAAUUUUUACAAACAUGCAUAGAAGCUAAGCUAGUGAUCCAGUAACAGAUUUUAUUAGUUCUACUGAAUUUGUUACAGACUGGAAAGGUGAGCUAAAGGCUUUAUUCUCUUCCUAUUUUGAAAGAUGUCAAAGUUGAACACUGGUAUAUUUAACCUGUUGCUGACUUUUCUUAAACUUUGCAACUUAAGGCAUCCUGGUAUAUGUAUUAAUUAAAUAUUUGUCCCUCUUACUGAACAGACUUCUCUAUGAUAACAGUUUUGUUUGUUUAAAUGAAACUGGUAUCAUGUGUACUCACAGAAAAUUUCCAAUGCAGGUUUUGAGAAGUGAAUUAACUAUUCAUGUUUAACCAGGUAAUUGACAGUUUUUUUUGAAACAAAGUUUUUAAACUAUUUACUUUUGAUUUCAAAGAUGACUGUUUCUGAUGUAUACAGAACGUGUGUAAUUUUUUUGUGGCAGAUUUUUGACUGUUUUCAAGCACUGUAAUGUGUGAUGGAUGGUUAGAAACAAUAAUAUAUUAGUUUCUACUUACCCUUUUAGGACUGAACUAUAUCUACUUAUUUAAAAAAAAUUUUGGUGUGUUUUAAGUAAUCUCUACAUCCAACUAGGGCAUGAACUCAUCACCUGGAAAUCAAGAGUCGCAUGCUCAUGGACUGAGUCAGCCAGGUGUCCUGAAUUAUAUCUCUUUACAAAACUUUACCCCUGCAUUAUGUUUGUCAGCAUUCAGGUGGUCCAGAUGUAGGUUUAUAGAUUCAUUUUUAGUUUACUUCUUGCACUUUGCAGCAUGCUCUACACAUUUAGUCCUUAAGGGGUUUCUUUUACAAACUCUGUGGCAUAACAUUUAUUAGCAAUCAGAUAGAAAACUGAGCAAAUUUAUGCCAUAAUUUUGUAGGGAAAAAAUGUGCUAAGCUCUAUAUUUCAUCCAUGAACAAUUUGCAGUGUGAGCACUUUCAAGGAAUAAAAAUAAAAAAGCAAUGUAAAACUUUUAGGUUAAACAUAAAACAGUUCUGGGGCACCUGGGUUGCUUGGGUGGUUAAGCGUCCAACUCUCAGUUUCGGCUCAGGUCAUGAACUCACGGUUUCCUGGGUUCGAGCCCCGCAUUGGACUGUGUGCUGACAGUGCAGAGCCUGGUUGAGAUUCUCUCCCUCUCCCUCUCUGUCUGCCCCUCUCCUACUCAUGUGGUCUCUUUCUCAAAAUAAGUAAACUUAAAAAAACAAACCAAAAAAACAUAAAACAUAAAUAGCUCCUGAGAGUAAGAAUUAUUGAAUAGGAUGGGAUCAGUUCAAGUAGGGGUGUUUCUUCCAGGACCAAGGCUUUCUUAAGAUCUACAGAUUUCAUAACCUUUACUGUUUCAUUGUCUUUGUAAUCUUCAUUUUCUUUUAUACUGAAUGUAUUUUCACUUUAAGUUCCUCAGUUACAAAACAGGUUAAUAUUCAGCAUUUGAAUGGCUAUGACUAAGGCCAUUAGUAUUUAAAAAGCACAGAUAAUUCUUUUUUCAAUCUAUUGUGUACAUAAAUUGCUUUUAUUCCUGCUAUCAUGUCAGUGUUUAAUCCGUUUUUCUUUAAACAGAAAUGUAUUGGCUGAUUUCUCAGGUUUUAUUUAAAAAAAUUAAAAAACAUUUUUUUAAUGUUUAUUUUUAUUUUUGAGAGAGACAGAGUUGGGGGGUGCAAGGGAGAAACAGAAUCUGAAACAGGCUCCAGGCUCUGAGCUGUCAGUAUAGAGCCCAAUUUAGGGCUCAAGCUCAGGAACUGCGAGACCACAAACCGAACCAGUCAGACGCUUAACCAACUGAGUCACCCAGGCACCCCUAAAAUUUUUUUUUAAAUCUUUAUUUUUGAGAGAGAGACAGAGUGCGAGCCAGGGAGGAACAGAAAGAGAUGGAGACACAGAAUCUGAAGCAGGCUCCAGGCUCUGAGCUGUCAAGUACAGAGCCUGACACGGGGCUCGAACUCACAAACUGUGAGUUCAUGACCAGAGCUGAGAUCAGACACCUAACCGACUAAGCCACCCAAGCAUCCCAUUUCUUGUGUUUUAGAUUGAUUUACUUCUAUAUUCAUUGAUUCUGGAAACUGUUGGGGGAGGGAUUUUUACUUAAGUGGAAGAUAAUUUAUAAUUCAUAUGUGGGAUAGAAUUGGCACUAAGAAAAUAUCUUAACCAUGCAUUAAAACAUUCAACAGUUAAUGUAGUCGAGAAAGCAAAGUAAAAAAAGUUAUUUUGUUGAUUCUUUUACCUGAUAUGGGAAAAAACUUGUAUUGUAUGAAAGUGAUCUGAAUAGGUAAAAACAUUAAUUUUGAGAGGAUUCAUAAUUUUUUUGAUCCAUAAUUUAAAGUAAUUAUCUUUGCAAGAUGAGAGCAGUGAUGUUACGUGAUAAAAGUGGACAUGAUGAAAGAUAUACUACAAACGGUUCUACUUAUUUUUUCCUUUUUGGUGCUGACUAAACUUUGGAAAUGGGUUGAUUAGCAACUUCUUAAAAACCAUCUAUUGUCUCUUUUGCUCUGCAUUUUAAAACACUCCAAAAUCCUGCCUCUUUAUUCUACAUAAUUUCCACUAGCCCCCUUCUGCUUAUCUGAGUCUGGUUCUAGUUGCUGGCCCAUGCUCAUUUCUGCUUCUAAGCUGACCCAGAUUGUGUUGUGUCCCCCCAAAAUUUAUGAGGUGCUAAUCCCCUUACCUCAAAAUGUUAUUACAUUUGGAUAUAGGAACUUUAAAAAGGUAAUUAAUGUUAAAUGAGGUCAUAUGGGUAUGUCCUAAUCCAAUAUGACUGGUGUUCUUAUAAAAAGGGGAAAUUUGGAAACAAAUUCACAUACAGGGAGAAAACCACAUAAACAUGAAAAGGGCCAUCUAGAAGCCAAGAACAAGGCUCUGGGAAGAAACCGUCUCAGACUUCUAGCCUCCACAGCUGUGAGCAAAAAUGCAUUUGUUGUUUAAGUCGCCCAAUCUGUGGUGCUUUGCCUGUGGCAACCCCAGAAUGUACAAUCUGCCUUUGCUCAUGUUAUUCCCCUCACUGAAAAUGUCCCUUCCUUUCAUCCCCAGCUAUCCAGUCAUUCAACAUGGAAAUUAAACAGCUACUUGGUGAAAUUAUCUGACACAACAGUCCUCUUUUUUUCUGCCCUAACAGAGAAUUUAGUUCGAACUACAGAUUUUAGCAGAUCCUAGCACAAAAUAUGGUAGAUGUAAGGAUUUCAGGAGUUAACAUAGGUAAAAUGCUUACAACAAUGCCUGGCAUGUAGUCAAUCGUAAGUGUUUGCUACAUCUGUUGCUGCUAUUACUAUGUCUUCAUUGGAAGAUAAAAUACACAAUAAUUGAUAACUAUUUGUGAGGCAUAGGGAAGAAGGAUAAAAGAUAUCAGGCUUGGCAACUGAGUAUGUGAUACUAUUGUUCCAAAUCAUUCACUCGGUUUUAUAAAGAGAGAAAUAGCGUUUUUUAUUACUAUUAUACAAAAUUUUUAUUCUAUGAAAAUUAAAAAAUGAAAUAGAAAUAAUGAUAUAAAAAUAGCUCUAAAUAAAAAUACUUUUGCAAGGUUGAAUUAACCCUUUGCACAUAUCCUGUUAGAUCUCUGUGAGACUACAAAUCUCUACAAAAUUGGAAUUACAGUUGACAACACAGGUUUGGACUGCAUGGGUCCACUUACACACAGAUUUUUUUUUUUCGAUAAAUAUAGUACAAUACUGUAAAUGAAUUUCCUUGUAAUUUUCUUAAUAUUUUUUUUCUCUAGCUUCCUUUGUUGUAAAAAUACAGUAUACAAUGCAUAUAACAUUCAAAAUAUGUUGACUGUUUAUAUUAUUGGUAAGGCUUCUGGUCAAUGGUACACUAUUAGCAGUUUUUAACUAUGUGAGGGAGGAAGUUAGGCAUCCCAACCCCUGCAUUAUUCAAGGAUCAACUGUACAUUUUAAAACUUCCUCUUUACACUUAAUAUAUCAGGUCAAUAACAUUUCUUCCACAUCAUUUUUAAUGGCCGAAUACUGUUCUAUGUGUGUAGCUUAAUUUACUUAAGGAGUAUCUUUAAAAAAAUUUUUUUUAAUGUUUAUUUUUGAGAGAGAGACAGUGUGAGCUGGGGAGUGGCAGAGACAGAGGGAGACACAGAACCUGAGGCAGGCUCCAGGCUCCGAGCUGUCAGCACAGAGCCCCACUUGGGGCUCGAAUUGUGAAUCGUGAGAUCAUGACCUGAGCCGCAGUCAGAUGCUCAACUGACUGAGCCAGCCAGGCGCCCCUAUUUAAGGAAUAUCUUAACAAACAAUACAGGAAUGAAUACUCUUGCAAUCAAAUUGUUACACAUAUUCUUAUUUCCUUAUGAUACAUUUCUAGAAGAGGAACUUCAGGGUCAAAUGCACAUGCUCAAGGCUUCUGAUACAUACUGUCAAACUGCACUCUAGAAGUGUGUGCCAUUUAUAUACUCGGAAGUUUAAGAAGCCCUAUUUCUCUGAACCCUUGCCAGUACUAACAAGACAUAAUCACUUGUUAAAAUAACACCUGAAAACCAAAUUAAUGUGUAACAUGUGUUCUGUCACUCACUCCCAAGAUGGACUAUUAAACUUUUAUAUUACCAUUCAAAGCUUAAGAUUCUUACCUACAUUUUAGAUGAAGAAUCUGAGAUCCAGUAAGUUACAUAAUAAAUCAGACCACUACAUAAUGGAAAUUUCUGCCCCAUAUACGAUAUUGAGUAUUCUUUCUGAUUUGCCAGUCAGCCUUACCAAUUAAGUUGUUUUUCCUAUAAUAGCCUUGUCAAUUUCCCCCAAAAAGAUAUACAUCUUCAUUAUCCAGGGAUGGAAGCUAGUACAUUCCAUUAGUUUAGCACAGUUUUUCCUAUCUGCUUCCCAGCUUGGAUUUUAUUUACUUACUAAAAAAAAUAUAUAUAUUUUUUUAACAUUUAUUCACUUUUGAGAGAGUGAACGCAGAGCUGGGGAGGGGCAGAGGGAGAGGGAGACACAGAAUAAGAAGCAGGCUCCAGGCUCGGAGUUGCCAGCACAGAGCCCAACACAGGACUCCAAUUCAUGAACCGUUGAGUUCCUGACCUGAGCUGAAGUGGGAUGCUCAACCGACUGAGCCACCCAGGUGCCCAGGAGUUUACAUAUUAUGUGAAGGAAACCUUUCAAGACAUUUAAAAAAAAAAAAGCUUACCUAAUUUUAGAAAAGAAUCUAUUUCAUUCAUUCAAUGGUUUAUUUAUUCAAUGUUUCAUUCAUUCAACAGUACUUAGCUAAUGUAUACUAUGUGUGGGGGAUAAAGCAGUGAUCAAAAUAGAUGUAGCCCCUGCCCCCAUGGAACUUAAAUUUUUAGUGGGGUAAAGGGAAACAGAUAACAAACAAUAAAGAUAAUGAUAAAUUAUAAAUGUUAUUUAAAAAUAAAUGGGAAAAGGAGAUACUUUAAAAAUGGUGGUGAAGGAAGGCCUGUCAGAGAUUCUUUCUUUUUUUAAAGUUCUUAUUUAUUUGAGAGGGAGAGAGAAUGAGAGUGUACAGGGGAGGGGCAGAAAGAGUCCUAAGCACUGACAGUGCAGAGCGUGAUAAAGGGCUCGAACUCAGGAACCAUGACAUCAUGACCUGAGCCCAAAAUCGAGAGUCGGAUGCUUAACACACUGAGCCACCCGUGUGCCUUGAUUUCUGAGUUAAGACCUGAAGGAUGAGAAUGAGUUAGCUACAUAGACACCGAGAAAAUACAUCCCAGACAGAAAAAAAUAAUAGUGCAAAAGUACAAAGGUCCUGAGAUGGAGUAUCAGUUAAAAUUAAAUUCAGUUGAGAAGAGACCCUAGAGUUUUAAAUAAAAUAGAAAUUUAUUUUCUCCUAUCCAAAUCUAAAUGUAGGGGCGCCUGGCUGGCUCAGUCGGUUGAGUAUCUGAAUCUUUGAUUUCCAUUCAGGUCAUGAUCCCAGGGUUGUGGGAUCGAGCCCUGCGUCUUUGGAGCCUGCGUGGGAUUCUCUCUUCCUCUGCCCCUCUCUUCCACUGGUGCUCACUUGCUCGAACUGUCUAAGAAAAAAAAAAAAAGGUGCUCUCUCUCUCUCUAAACCACCCCCCC
Long non-coding RNA from Acinonyx jubatus (cheetah), 12774 nucleotides. RefSeq lists it as uncharacterized. The record is from RefSeq and is a predicted model, not a curated record. The transcript is spliced from 2 exons. Lineage: Eukaryota; Metazoa; Chordata; Mammalia; Carnivora; Felidae.